CCUUCGGGAACUCUGACACAGGUGCUGCAUGGCUGUCGUCAGCUCGUGUCGUGAGAUGUUGGGUUAAGUCCCGUAACGAGCGCAACCCUUGUCCUUAGUUACCAGCACGGUUAUGGUGGGCACUCUAAGGAGGACUGCCGGUGACAAACCGGAGGAAGGUGGGGAUGACGUCAAGUCAUCCAUGGCCCUUACGGCCUGGGCUACACACGUGCUACAAUGGUCGGUACAAAGGGUUGCCAAGCCGCGAGGUGGAGCUAAUACCCAUAAAACCGAUCGUAGUCCGGAUCGCAGUCUGCAACUCGACUGCGUGAAGUCGGAAUCGCUAGUAAUCGUGAAUCAGAAUGUCACGGUGAAUACGUUCCCGGGCCUU
Molecule: ribosomal RNA, 370 nt
Filed under: uncultured Pseudomonas sp.
Lineage: Bacteria; Pseudomonadati; Pseudomonadota; Gammaproteobacteria; Pseudomonadales; Pseudomonadaceae
Description: bacterial SSU rRNA
Rfam family: Bacterial small subunit ribosomal RNA
Source: RNAcentral